RNAcentral lists this ribosomal RNA (350 nucleotides) under uncultured bacterium. Its description in RNAcentral is "bacterial SSU rRNA". It matches the Rfam family "Bacterial small subunit ribosomal RNA", at positions 8 to 350 of the family's 1533-position model. The record is from RNAcentral.
AGAGUUUGAUCAUGGCUCAGGAUGAACGCUGGCGGCGUGCUUAACACAUGCAAGUCGAACGAGAGAAGAUCGGUGCUUGCACUGAUCCGAUCGAGUGGCGGACGGGUGAGUAACGCGUGGGUAACCUGCCUCAUACAGGGGAAUAACAGUUGGAAACGGCUGCUAAAACCGCAUAAGCGCACAGUAUCGCAUGAUACAGUGUGAAAAACUCCGGUGGUAUGAGAUGGACCCGCGUCUGAUUAGCUAGUUGGUGAGGUAACGGCCACCAAGGCAACGAUCAGUAGCCGGCCUGAGAGGGUGAACGGCCACAUUGGGACUGGAGACACGGCCCCAAACUCCUACGGGAGGCA